AUAAUUGAUUUUAUGAUUUGCUU
This 23-nucleotide small nuclear RNA is filed under the name Arabidopsis thaliana (thale cress). RNAcentral's name for it is "snRNA_14126". Lineage: Eukaryota; Viridiplantae; Streptophyta; Magnoliopsida; Brassicales; Brassicaceae. The record is from RNAcentral.